RNAcentral lists this RNase P RNA (335 nucleotides) under Clostridia bacterium. RNAcentral describes it as "RNase P RNA component class A". It matches the Rfam family "Bacterial RNase P class A". Rfam says of the family: Ribonuclease P (RNase P) is a ubiquitous endoribonuclease, found in archaea, bacteria and eukarya as well as chloroplasts and mitochondria. Its best characterised activity is the generation of mature 5'-ends of tRNAs by cleaving the 5'-leader elements of precursor-tRNAs. The record is from RNAcentral. Lineage: Bacteria; Bacillati; Bacillota; Clostridia.
AAAGGCGGCUGAAUGGCCGCAGGCCGAAAGGCAUGAGGAAAGUCCGGGCACCGCAGGGCAGGAUGCCUGCUAACGGCAGGUGGAGGCGACUCCAAGGCAAGUGCAACAGAGAGAUACCGCCGGGGGAAACCCCGGUAAGGGUGGAAAGGUGCGGUAAGAGCGCACCGGCGGCCUGGCGACUGUGCCGUCAUGUAAACCCCAUCCGGUGCAAGGUGUAGGGAACGCAUAGGAUUGCCCGUCCUGUUCCCGCAGUACCGCUCAAGCGCGCUGGCAACUUCGCGUUUAGAUAGAUGGCCAUUUUCAACAGAACCCGGCUUACAGGCCGCGCUUUGUCA